GCAAGUCGAGGGGUAACGGGGUACUUGCACCGCCGACGACCGGCGCACGGGUGCGUAACGCGUAUACAAUCUACCUCUUACUAUGGGAUAGCCCAGAGAAAUUUGGAUUAAUAUCAUAUAGUAUCAUAUUACGGCAUCGUAUUUAUGAUUAAAGGUUACGGUAAGAGAUGAGUAUGCGUCCUAUUAGUUUGUUGGUAAGGUAACGGCUUACCAAGACUACGAUAGGUAGGGGCCCUGAGAGGGGGAUC
Molecule: ribosomal RNA, 248 nt
Filed under: uncultured bacterium
Lineage: Bacteria
Description: partial 16S ribosomal RNA
Rfam family: Bacterial small subunit ribosomal RNA
Source: RNAcentral